This 551-nucleotide ribosomal RNA is filed under the name Promicromonospora sp. Its description in RNAcentral is "bacterial SSU rRNA". It matches the Rfam family "Bacterial small subunit ribosomal RNA", at positions 85 to 651 of the family's 1533-position model. Lineage: Bacteria; Bacillati; Actinomycetota; Actinomycetes; Micrococcales; Promicromonosporaceae. The record is from RNAcentral.
GGGUGGAUCAGUGGCGAACGGGUGAGUAACACGUGAGCAACCUGCCCCCUACUUCGGGAUAAGCCUUGGAAACGAGGUCUAAUACCGGAUAUGAGCACCUACCGCAUGGUGGGUGUUGGAAAGUUUUUCGGUGGGGGAUGGGCUCGCGGCCUAUCAGCUUGUUGGUGGGGUAAUGGCCUACCAAGGCGUCGACGGGUAGCCGGCCUGAGAGGGCGACCGGCCACACUGGGACUGAGACACGGCCCAGACUCCUACGGGAGGCAGCAGUGGGGAAUAUUGCACAAUGGGCGAAAGCCUGAUGCAGCGACGCCACGUGAGGGAUGACGGCCUUCGGGUUGUAAACCUCUUUCAGCAGGGAAGAAGCGAAAGUGACGGUACCUGCAGAAGAAGCGCCGGCUAACUACGUGCCAGCAGCCGCGGUAAUACGUAGGGCGCAAGCGUUGUCCGGAAUUAUUGGGCGUAAAGAGCUCGUAGGCGGUCUGUCGCGUCUGGUGUGAAAUCCCAUGGCUCAACUGUGGGCUUGCAUCGGGUACGGGCAGACUAGAGUGCUG